This is a long non-coding RNA of Oenanthe melanoleuca, 375 nucleotides long. RefSeq lists it as uncharacterized. NCBI's taxonomy places the organism in Eukaryota, Metazoa, Chordata, Aves, Passeriformes, Muscicapidae. The record is from RefSeq and is a predicted model, not a curated record. The transcript has 4 exons.
CAGGUAGUUCUGAGGGGCCCACGGGGGAUCAUCCGCGGCUGGGGGUGGUGGAAGGGUCAGGUCCCCAAAUUCAGGCACGGCCGGGAGUGGUGGAAGGGUCGGGUCCCCAAAUUCCAGCACGGCUGGGGGUGGUGGGGUCAGGUCCCCAAAUUCAGGCACAGGUGGGGGUGGAAGGCUCAGAUCCCCAAAUUCAGGCACAGCUGGUGAUGGAAGGGUCAGGUCCCCAAAUUCAGGCACAGCUGGGGGUGGUGGAAGGGUCAGAUCCCCAAAUUCAGGCACAGCUGGGGGUGAUGGAAGGGUCAGGUCCCCAAAUUCAGGCACAGCUGGUGAUGGAAGGGUCAGAUCCCCAAAUUCAGGCUCGGCUGGGGGUGGUGG